Molecule: ribosomal RNA, 484 nt
Filed under: Pseudomonas sp. CL4.112
Lineage: Bacteria; Pseudomonadati; Pseudomonadota; Gammaproteobacteria; Pseudomonadales; Pseudomonadaceae
Description: bacterial SSU rRNA
Rfam family: Bacterial small subunit ribosomal RNA
Source: RNAcentral
CCCUGGCUCAGAUUGAACGCUGGCGGCAGGCCUAACACAUGCAAGUCGAGCGGAUGACAGGAGCUUGCUCCUGAAUUCAGCGGCGGACGGGUGAGUAAUGCCUAGGAAUCUGCCUGGUAGUGGGGGACAACGUUUCGAAAGGAACGCUAAUACCGCAUACGUCCUACGGGAGAAAGCAGGGGACCUUCGGGCCUUGCGCUAUCAGAUGAGCCUAGGUCGGAUUAGCUAGUUGGUGAGGUAAUGGCUCACCAAGGCGACGAUCCGUAACUGGUCUGAGAGGAUGAUCAGUCACACUGGAACUGAGACACGGUCCAGACUCCUACGGGAGGCAGCAGUGGGGAAUAUUGGACAAUGGGCGAAAGCCUGAUCCAGCCAUGCCGCGUGUGUGAAGAAGGUCUUCGGAUUGUAAAGCACUUUAAGUUGGGAGGAAGGGCAUUAACCUAAUACGUUAGUGUUUUGACGUUACCGACAGAAUAAGCACCGG